GGAAUAUUGCACAAUGGGGGAAACCCUGAUGCAGCCAUGCCGCGUGUGUGAAGAAGGCCUUCGGGUUGUAAAGCACUUUCAGUAGGGAGGAAGGCUUACCGCUAAUAACGGUGAGUACUUUACGUUACCUACAGAAGAAGCACCGGCUAAUUUCGUGCCAGCAGCCGCGGUAAUACGAAAGGUGCGAGCGUUAAUCGGAAUUACUGGGCGUAAAGCGCGCGUAGGCGGUUUGUUAAGUCAGAUGUGAAAGCCCCGGGCUCAACCUGGGAAUUGCAUUUGAAACUGGCAGGCUAGAGUGCAGUAGAGGGAGGUGGAAUUUCCGGUGUAGCGGUGAAAUGCGUAGAGAUCGGAAGGAACACCAGUGGCGAAGGCGGCCUCCUGGACUGACACUGACGCUGAGGUGCGAAAGCGUGGGGAGC
Molecule: ribosomal RNA, 419 nt
Filed under: uncultured bacterium
Lineage: Bacteria
Description: bacterial SSU rRNA
Rfam family: Bacterial small subunit ribosomal RNA
Source: RNAcentral